RNAcentral lists this ribosomal RNA (460 nucleotides) under uncultured bacterium. RNAcentral describes it as "partial 16S ribosomal RNA". It matches the Rfam family "Bacterial small subunit ribosomal RNA", at positions 338 to 795 of the family's 1533-position model. The record is from RNAcentral.
CCUACGGGUGGCAGCAGUGAGGAAUAUUGGUCAAUGGACGCAAGUCUGAACCAGCCAUGCCGCGUGCAGGACGACGGCUCUAUGAGUUGUAAACUGCUUUUGUACGGGGGUAAACGCAGGUACGUGUCUCUUUCUGGAAGUAUCGUACGAAUAAGGCUCGGCUAACUCCGUUCCAGCAGCCGCAGUAAUACGGAGGAUUCAAGCGUUAUCCGGAUUUAUUGGGUUUAAAGGGUGCGUAGGCGGUCGGAUAAGUUAGAGGGGAAAGCCCGAGGGUCAACGUCGGAAUUGCCUCUGAAACUGUGCGGCUAGAGAGUAGGUGCGGUAGGCGGAAUGUAUGGUGUAGCGGUGAAAUGCUUAGAGAUCAUACAGAACACCGAUUGCGAAGGCAGCUUACCAAGCUACUUCUGACGUUGAGGCACGAAAGCGUGGGGAGCAAACAGGAUUAGAUACCCCUGUAGUC